Rhagoletis pomonella (apple maggot) is the source of this 423-nucleotide long non-coding RNA. RefSeq lists it as uncharacterized. Lineage: Eukaryota; Metazoa; Arthropoda; Insecta; Diptera; Tephritidae. The transcript is spliced from 3 exons. The record is from RefSeq and is a predicted model, not a curated record.
UAGUUAAUAACGCGACCGCGUAGCAACGAAUAUAUUACAAAUUGCGGUUAACUUACAUACACUCCUACUUAAAUAUUUUAGAAAAUUUUUUUUCUUUUGUUGUUUUUUGUUGUUUACGGGUUUACUUCCAACUGUGCCACAGAAUUUAUUUGAGUGUAUUUACGAGUAUUUGUAAUACAUAUAGGUUCCUCACCUUAUGCAUUCACAGUGAACGUCAAAAAAAUAUGUAUUUGAACCAGCAGAAGCAUAAAAUUAAGUUGGAAUCAUAUAAAGUAAACGAAAAUUGUGUGAUUUAACUUUUAAGCUAAAAGGCCAAAGAAGUAUUGAGACAAAUCACAUACGCGCAAUACGUUGUUGGCUAUAUACAUACAUGCAUACAUAUUGAAUACUAAGGCAUAACAAAAAAAAAUUAUAUACAUAAAU